Manihot esculenta (cassava) is the source of this 161-nucleotide small nuclear RNA. RefSeq annotates it as U1 spliceosomal RNA. NCBI's taxonomy places the organism in Eukaryota, Viridiplantae, Streptophyta, Magnoliopsida, Malpighiales, Euphorbiaceae. The transcript has a single exon. The record is from RefSeq and is a predicted model, not a curated record.
AUACUUACCUGGACGGGGUUAAUGGGUGAUCAUGAAGACUCAUGUCCUAGGGAGGUGGCCUGCAUUGCACUUGGAAGGUGCAUCUGCCUAAGGUCUCCUCAAGUAGGAGAGUCUACGUCAUAAUUUGUGCUAGUGGGGGCCUGCGUUCGCGCGGCCCCUAU